Nematostella vectensis (starlet sea anemone) is the source of this 3998-nucleotide long non-coding RNA. RefSeq lists it as uncharacterized. NCBI's taxonomy places the organism in Eukaryota, Metazoa, Cnidaria, Anthozoa, Actiniaria, Edwardsiidae. The record is from RefSeq and is a predicted model, not a curated record. The transcript is spliced from 5 exons.
CUGUCGGAGAGAGAAAAUACAACAAAAUUAAUCUACUUCCUCUGGCGGAGGAUCUUGCAAUGCUUAGGGCGUACCUGGACAAAAAUCCCCAGACAAGAAAGUGAAAUUUUAGUUUGGGUUAGGCUACACCUAUAAAAAGGAUAUCACAGACUCGUGUAAUACAAAUGUUUACCCAACAGAGAAGCAUAGUGCUGGCAUACCAGAAAUGCAUAAAGCUAAUGUUUUUUUACUUUAUUUUCCAGAAUUAUCAAGCACUGGCCAAGUUUCUCAUAUCUAGUAAAAGACAAGUGUUAGUGGUAGUGCUCCCCCAACAUUACAGGAGGGUCUUUCCAUUUGAAGCUAUAGCAGCAGUCAGCUGUACUUUAGUAGUGCCCAGUCUUUUAACAGUCUUCAUAAUAAAAUCUUGUAGGACAUGCUCACAAUGCCACAAAUACAAUUGUCUGCAAUAGAAAGCCUGUUUUACUUUUUUUUUUAAAUCUAUGUCUCGUACUAUAUACCAGAUUUCUGUUACAUGAUAAUAGCAAACUCAAGUAUAGAAUAUGUGAAAAAUUUGUUUUGGUGAAGAUGAGAAACAACUGACACCCUUCAGUGCUUAUGUACAGUAGACAAUUACUUAUCUAUAAAAAAAACUAAAAAUAGUAAAAGCUAGCUGAAAAAAUGUAUAAAAUAGUAAUAAAUUUCAUUUCUAAUAUUGUAAGUUUAUUCUAUACUAUUUUUAGUGAAUGAUCAUACAAGCCCAGGGGCUUUAUUAAGAUCUUACAUUAGUCAAUCCCCUGAUUCGAGACUACUCUUAUAGUGUACAUACACUAUUUAUUUUAUACACUAUUUGUGUGUGUGUUGGGUGUACCACAACUUUCCUGUAAUUCAGUUCCUGGCUACAAAAGCAUAAACUAUGACUAAUGUUGACUCUAUCUGUUAAACACUUUUACAAACAUUUAACCAAUUACGUUUACAAAAACAAACUAUGGGCUGUUAUUUAAAGAACGAGCGAAAUGAAAAUUGCUUACCUCUGCUUCUAUUACUAAUCUUGUAUGUUAUUGAACCAAACUUGGACUGAACUUCGGUUGAAUAUAGUGUUAAAAAGUUGUUAUAGCAUCAUAUAAAAUUAGGUAUAAGCAAGUUCUUGAAAUCACCCAUACUGGUACUGGUAGUUAUGUGGGACUGUGGGGCUCCAUCUCGGAUAAUAUCACCCAUACUGGUACUGAUGGUUAUGUGGGACUGUGGGGCUCUAUCUCGGAUAAUAUCACCCAUACUGGUACUGAUGGUUAUGUGGGACUGUGGGGCUCUAUCUCGGAUAAUAUCAAAAUGUUAAGGGGCAGCAGAGGCAAGUACAUCUAAAUAGACAUCUAGUAGGUUCUAAUAAGAUAAUUUCUGAUAAUAAUACAAUAUCAAGGUGUCCAGAAAAGGGAAGGAGGGUAUCUGAAUAGACAUCUAGAAGAUCCUAAUAAGAUAAGAGGGAUAUAACCAUCUAAUUGCAAAUAAUCAGAGGGAAACAAUGAUAAUAUCCUAAUCUCAAUAUCAGAUAUAAGUGAUUUUUCUCUUUGUGGGAGUAAGAAAGCCAAACGUAGAAAUGGACAUUACAUCCCUUUACUAUCAGCAAAAAGCUAGAUCCCCCCUAGAAUAUUAUCAAGUGGUUAUUUUUUUGUAUCUAAUUUUUAUUAUGUAAUUAUAUUCAUUUAUCAUACUCUGAUUGAAAUACCAAGUAAACACAUGUGGCAUAAAAAAUACCUGGUCAAUUUGGAUAGAGCAUUAACUACUUAUUUUACAGUCAAGUAAGUAAAGCAUAUGAUACUUAUGAGUUAUGAGCGAUUAAUUAUAAAUUUUUGUGAUUACUCUAGCUUGUUACACUAAAAGUUAUAGAACGCACAAUAAAAUAUUCCGGUUCCGAAUUUAAACGACAGUGGAUAAAAUAUUUUUAUUAUUACAAAGUGCAGAUGGACAGGAUAGUUCUGUGAGAAAUUAGGAGACUGAAUAGUCCUAUUCACAGUCCCCGCCGCCAUCUUGGAUACAAACAUGAAAACAAGGCGAGAGUUGACUCAUAAUCAAAACAAACAUUGUUGUCAUUGCUGAGUUUUUGGCAAAAAUGGUUCUAGUUUAUCAAAAUGUCAAUCUCAAUUCGUUAGAAGACAUUCAGAAACUUUCUGUAAAGAGUCUUAGAGAUGUUUUACGUUCCUACAAAGAAAAUACGAGCGGCAUAAAGGCCGAUCUCGUCCUAAAAGUCUACGCGAUUCUUAUGUCACACGUGCUAGAUGGCGGGCCAAGUGUCCGGAAGUAGAAAACCCGCAAGAUUGCGUUACUUUAUAAUACUGUAUUACGUUACAUAUUUAGUUUUGUUAUGUGAUCAUGUUGUAAUUCGAGAUAGGUAAAAAAGGGGGUUGUGCCCCUAGAGUUGAGAUGCGAGUGUACUAUUACUACGGAGAGUUUGUGAUCAAGAAAUAAAGUAAAGAGAAUAUAAGUGAGUUUAUUUGGUUGUCCCCGACAAGCUCAACACAAGUUCAAAGUCAAACUGUUGGUAUCAACUUUGCCACAGACCAAAUGCAAGUGGGCUUUUUUGUGGGUACCAGGGGGUGAAGCUUGCGAGGCACAUCAAAAGGCAACAUUCCAAGGAAUCUGAAGUGGCCUGCCAGCUUGCAGGAACGAGUAAAAAGAACAAAGUAAAAGAACACGAAAGGCUCCGGCUCCUCGGUGAUUAUCACCACAAUUGCAAUGUCCUCAGCUUAGGCGAAGGACAACUGAUUGUGGUAUGCCUACCUCCCUUGUAAGUCGUGCCUUGGGUUUCACAAGGGGGACGACCUUUGGAGGCACAGAAAGAAGUGUGCGUUUAAACAGCAUGGGACAGACGAAGAAGUUGGUAUCACCUUUGCCACAGACCAAAUGCAAGUGGGCUUUUUUGUGGGUACCAGGGGGUGAAGCUUGCGAGGCACAUCAAAAGGCAACAUUCCAAGGAAUCUGAAGUGGCCUGCCAGCUUGCAGGAACGAGUAAAAAGAACAAAGUAAAAGAACACGAAAGGCUCCGGCUCCUCGGUGAUUAUCACCACAAUUGCAAUGUCCUGAGCUUAGGCGAAGGACAACUGAUUGUGGUAUGCCUACCUCCCUUGUAAGUCGUGCCUUGGGUUUCACAAGGGGGACGACCUUUGGAGGCACAGAAAGAAGUGUGCGUUUAAACAGCAUGGGACAGACAAAGAAGCCAACCUAUAUACCAAAUCUGUAUACGGUGAAGUGAAUAAAUUGUAUUGUGAGCGUGACGAGGUCGGCUUCGUGGCCAAGCACGAUGAACUAAUAAUACAGAUGGGGAACUGCCUCUAUGAUCAGCAUGGCGAGAGGCAGGCUACUUAUAUGAGCACCAAAAUGCGGGAGAUAGCCAGAUUGGUGCUCGAGGUCAAAAUAAAUGAACCGAGCCAACAUGGCCUGACUGAACUCAUCACUUCCCGAAAUUUCGCCCUGGUAAAAGAGGGGGUGAAGCGGGUUGCCGGCUUUAGUGGUGUCCAGCAUAUCUUCACCAUCCCUAGCGCACUUCACUAGUGCACUUCACUAGUGCACUUCACUGAAGUGGGCAACUGGGCUCAGGCGCCAAGAUGAUGCAGCUAUCCUCCAUCUUAUGGAUAUAGAGUGGGCUCAAAAGAAUUAUCAAGCACUGGCCAAGUUUCUCAUAUCUAGUAAAAGACAAGUGUUAGUGGUAGUGCUCCCCCAACAUUACAGGAGGGUCUUUCCAUUUGAAGCUAUAGCAGCAGUCAGCUGUACUUUAGUAGUGCCCACUCUUUCAACAGUCUUCAUAAUAAAAUCUUGUAGGACAUGCUCACAAUGCCACAAAUACAAUUGUCUGCAAUAGAAAGCCUGUUUUACUUUUUUUUUUAUGUAUGUCUCGUACUAUAUACCAGAUUUCUGUUACAUGAUAAUAGCAAACUCAAGUAUAGAAUAUGUGAAAAAUUUGUUUUGGUGAAGAUGAAAAACAACUGACACCCUUCAGUGCUUAUGUACAGUAGACAAUUACUUAUCUA